AAAAAAAGUUCGAACCUGCAGCUGGUGGCGUUGCUUCCCCUUUGCCGCCGUAGCGCCGGCCAUGCUCACGGUGUCUCUCCUAGACGCGCAACUCGCUCGGUGCUCCUCCGCGCGCCAUCUCCUCCAGAUUCACGGCCAGUUCAUCGCCUCCGGCCUCCUCGCCGAUGCCUUCGCCGCCAGCCGCCUCCUCCUCUUCACCUCCGCCACCCGCCUCCUCCCGCUCCCCAUCCACCAUUCGUUCCGCCUCCUCCGACUCGUCCGCUGUCCCAACGCCUUCUCCUGCAACACGCUCCUCAAGGCGGCCCUGCUCGCCGGGACGCCGCACGUCUGCCUACCACUCUACACCUCCCUGCCAACGUCCCCCGACUCCUACACCCACCCCAUCCUCGCCGCCGCCUGCGCCGCCAGGAGGGACGUGAAUGAAGGCAGGCAGGUGCACUCACACGCUAUCAAGCACGGGUUCGGUGAUGAUUUGUACCUCAGGAACGGCCUGAUGCAUAUGUACUCUGUUUGCGGCUGCCUCUGGGACGCACGCAGGGUGUUUGACGCAGGUCCCGUGUGGGACGCUGUUUCGUGGAACACCAUCCUGGCUGCGUACGUGCAUGCUGGGGAUGUCGAUCAGGCGGUUGGGGUGUUCGCACGGAUGCCAAAGCGGAAUGCCACAGCGGUGAGCUCCAUGGUGUCAUUGUUUGGGAGGAGGGGUAUGGUGGACGAGGCAAGAGGGGUGUUUGACGAGGCCGAUUGCAGGGAUAUUUUCACGUGGACUGCCAUGAUUUCUUGCUUUGAGCGGAACAGCAUGUUUGCAGAGGCGUUGCACAUGUUCUCCUGCAUGCGUCGAGAGAUGUGGCCUGUGGACGAGGCGCUGAUGGUCAGCGUGGUGUCCGCUUGUGCACAGUCGGAGGUGAUUCGAAAUGGGGAACUAUGCCAUGGACUGGUUAUCAGGGCUGGCCUUUGUUCGCUGCUAAAUAUUCAGAAUGUGCUGAUCCACAUGUACUCAUGUUGCCUGGAUGUUGUUGCAGCAUGGAGGUUGUUUGACAGCGGUGACUGCUUGGACCAGUUCUCCUGGAACUCAAUGAUAGCAGGCUAUCUAAAGAAUGGUCAUGUCGAAAAUGCAAUGACAUUGUUCAAUGCAAUGUCUGACAAGGACAAUGUUUCUUGGAGUACAAUGAUUUCUGGUUGUGUGCAGAAUAACCAAUCGUCAGAUGCACUCGCUGUCUUCGAUAACAUGCGAGCCCAGGGAGUCAGGCCGGAUGAGGUUACUGUUGUUAGUGUUAUAUCUGCAUGCACUAAUCUGUCUGCUCUGGAGAAAGGAAAGUCGGUGCAUGAUUAUGUAAGGCAAAACAAAUGUUACAUCAGUCUUGUACUUGGGACUAGCCUCAUUGACAUGUACAUGAAGUGUGGAUACUUGGAAGCUGCAAUGGAUGUUUUCAACAUAAUGGAAGAAAAAGGAGCACCUUGCUGGAAUGCUGUAAUUGUGGGGUUGGCGAUGAACGGCCUUGUGACAAAAUCCCUUGAGAUGUUCUCAGAGAUGGAAGCAUCCGGCACUGCCAUCCCGAAUGAGAUAACUUUCAUCGGAGUUUUGAGUGCUUGCAGACAUGCUGGCCUAGUUGAGGAGGGCCGCCACUUCUUCAAGUUGAUGCAGCACAAGUACCGAAUUGUGCCAAACAUCAGACACUAUGGAUGCAUGGUUGAUCUUCUUGGACGUGCUGGAUAUGUUAAGGAGGCUGAGGAUCUGAUUGAGAGCAUGCCCAUGUUACCUGAUGUUCCAGCAUGGGGUGCAUUGCUUAGUGCCUGCUGGAAGCAUGGUGAAAAUGAGGUUGGAGAAAGGGUGGGCAGGAAGCUUGUCAAUCUGGAUCCUCGCCAUGACGGAUUUCACACUAUGUUAUCUAACAUAUAUGCUAAAGAGGGGAUGUGGCAAUCAGUAAAUGACCUAAGGGACUCCAUGAAGCAACGACAUGUCUCAAAAGUUUCAGGAUAUAGUGUCGUUGAAAUGUCUCAUUCUUGAGAUUCUAGCAGUUGAUCGCACCUCAGAUGAAAAUCUUAGAUAGGUCCAAGUUGAAGCCUUACAAGAUUCAAAUAAAAAAUUCACAUGGCAUCAGCGACCAAAUUAUUUAUCUUUUAAACUUUUACCAGAGUCAGGCAGAACUUCCUUUCUUUCCUUAUUUCUUUCCAUGAUAUCCAUCCAUCUGGAAUACUGAACAGGGAACAACACACGCCAUGGUCAGGGUUCCCUUAUUUUUUAUUUUUUGUUAGUCGUGUACCAUGGUGCAAGCAAAUGAAUAUCUUUCUCAAAUGUCAAAUGCAAUGCUAAACUUACCAGGGUAAGUAUAAAAAGAAGAUAUAACCGGGAUCAUGAUGAUGGAAAAAGAAAGGAAGAGCAAGGGUAAAUUAACUAUGGGGUGGAAAGGUGAUACAGAAAAAAGGCUUGUAAUUCUUUUAUCGUCUGAACAACAUGUAUUGGAAAUGCUCAGAAAAAGAUUUGUGGGUAUUUUUUUCUUCAUAUAAAGGCCAUAUCUAGGCUAAUUCCUUUCCAAGCUACACAUAUGUUUAUUAGGAAAAUAUGUUUUCUUCACCAUGUUCAGAAUUGUUACGAAAAUGUGAUACCAUACUGAACAUAUCUUAUUUGUGUUAGAGGAAUACAAUUCCAUUUGGUACCAAGAAUAUUUGAUUAGGAAGGGAGGCAGAAUAAAAGUUAUUGGGUAUGCAGGUUCUAGUGGUUCUAGUUGAGGUUUACUAAUUUCACAUAGCUAUGGUUACUAAUUUCACAUAACUAUGGUUAAUUUAAUAAAGUAAUUUCUUAGAACCUUGUAGUUGUAAAGGGAAAUGAAUUAGAGUCUUAUUGACUGAUAAAACAAAUGUGAGAAGACAAUUCACAUGUAUUGACUUAAAAAUUUCUCAUAUGCUUGUUGCGAGAUCAUGUGAGUUGCGAGAUCCACCUAGACAGAGUCACAUUGGACCUACUAAAUUAUAAUUGUAAGACUUGAGGGGACAUCAAUAAAUGGACUAAGUGACCGAUCUUUUUACUGUUGGGGGUUUCCCUACAGUUUUCUGGUGAAAAAGUGGACUGACUGGUCUGCUUUUAAACCAACUGAAAAUAUUGCUGGAUACCCACUGUGAGUUCCUGGCACAUUACUAGAAAAUACGGAACAAUUCUGUUUUUUCAUAUGAGAAGAGAUAUUAUGAAGUAAGCAUCACAGUCGAGCAUGAUUUUUCUUUACUUUGAUCAAGUCCUAGGCUCCCAGGUAGUUAGU
Triticum dicoccoides is the source of this 3251-nucleotide RNA transcript. It is a transcript of the gene named pentatricopeptide repeat-containing protein At1g08070, chloroplastic-like, with no coding region annotated. The record is from RefSeq and is a predicted model, not a curated record. The transcript has 2 exons. Lineage: Eukaryota; Viridiplantae; Streptophyta; Magnoliopsida; Poales; Poaceae.